Long non-coding RNA from Mytilus californianus (California mussel), 574 nucleotides. RefSeq lists it as uncharacterized. The transcript has 3 exons. The record is from RefSeq and is a predicted model, not a curated record. NCBI's taxonomy places the organism in Eukaryota, Metazoa, Mollusca, Bivalvia, Mytilida, Mytilidae.
UGAUAUCUUGAAGAUCCUUGAAGUCAGAUUUUAUUCCUUCUUAUAUUAAAAUUCAAAAGAGUCAAAAUUAAAUUAAGCAAUAAUGUAUUAAUAAACAAUCACCGUUCUUUAAUGUUUAUUCAUUUCGUUCGUGUAUAUUUUAGAAAUUAAGAAAUGAAAACUGUAACUGUACUAUUAAAGUUCAAUUUUCGUAUCGUUUAUAUGCCUUACGGAAAACCGACCUUUUCCGGAAUCGACUUUUGUUUUAUCACCGGAAAUGAUUUUGAAAUUUGAAUUUCGAAACGAAGACAGUAUAUCAACAAAGAGCCAAGAAAAUUGUUUGUUACGCGAUAUAUACUCACUUGGAGCUAAAAGAAAAGCCACAAAGGACAAGUUCAAUAUGCAGGUUUACAAUUUGGAAGUGGUGCAGGUUCUUUGAAAUGUCUACAACCUUUCAAGAGAAUUUUUUUUUGAAAAGCAUGGCACAGCAAGAAAAAGAUAUAAGACACUACAAGACAUUCCAAGUGAUUUUGAAUAAGACAAUUGAUUGACUUUUUCAAUGUAUUCUUAAAUAAAUCAAAUAGUUGAUGUAAAA